GCCUGGUGGAGCACUACUGGUCCCAACUACUUGGGAGGCUGAAGUAGGAGGAUUGCUUGAGUCCAGGAGUUCUGGGCUGCAGUGUGCUAUGCUGACUGGGUGUCCACACUAAGUUUGGCAUCAGUAUGGUGACUUCCUGGGAGGAGGGGAUCAUCAGGUUGCCUAAGGAGGGGUGAACUGGCCCAGGUCUGAAAUGGAGCGGGUCAAAAUUCCCUACCCUGGACUCCUGAGGAGGGACAUGAUAGUCCCUGAUCCUGGAGCCACCUGACUUAGAGGUUGGAAAGUAAUACUGCACUGU
Unclassified non-coding RNA from Heterocephalus glaber (naked mole-rat), 298 nucleotides. It matches the Rfam family "Metazoan signal recognition particle RNA". Rfam says of the family: The signal recognition particle (SRP) is a universally conserved ribonucleoprotein. It is involved in the co-translational targeting of proteins to membranes. NCBI's taxonomy places the organism in Eukaryota, Metazoa, Chordata, Mammalia, Rodentia, Bathyergidae. The record is from Ensembl.